GACGAACGCUGGAGGCGUGCUUAACACAUGCAAGUCGAACGAUGAAAUGGAGCUUGCUCCAUGGAUUAGUGGCGAACGGGUGAGUAACACGUGAAUAACCUGCCCUUAAUUUUGGAAUAACCCAGGGAAACCUGGGCUAAUACCGGAUAAGUAAACCUGUGGCAUCACAUGGUUUUGGAAAGUUUUUCGAUUAAGGAUGGAUUCGCGGCCUAUUAGCUUGUUGGUGAGGUAAUGGCUCACCAAGGCGACGACGGGUAGCCGGCCUGAGAGGGUGAACGGCCACACUGGGACUGAGACACGGCCCAGACUCCUACGGGAGGCAGCAGUGGGGAAUAUUGCGCAAGGGACGAAAGUCUGACGCAGCGACGCCUCGUGAGGGACGAAGGUCUUCGGAUUGUAAACCUCUUUCAGCAGGGACGAAGCGAAAGUGACGGUACCUGCAGAAGAAGCACCGGCUAACUAUGUGCCAGCAGCCGCCGUAA
Molecule: ribosomal RNA, 482 nt
Filed under: uncultured bacterium
Lineage: Bacteria
Description: partial 16S ribosomal RNA
Rfam family: Bacterial small subunit ribosomal RNA
Source: RNAcentral